AGAGUUUGAUCCUGGCUCAGAACAAACGCUGGCGGCGUGCCUAACACAUGCAAGUCGUACGAGAAAGUCGGCUUCGGCCGAUGAGUAAAGUGGCGCACGGGUGAGUAACGCGUGGAUAAUCUACCCUUUAGUCCGGAAUAACUUAUCGAAAGGUGAACUAAUACCGGAUGAUAUCCCGGUUUCCUCGGAGACUGGGUUCAAAGAAGGCCUCUGCUUGCAAGCUUUUGCUGAAGGAUGAGUCCGCGUACCAUUAGCUAGUUGGUAAGGUAAAGGCUUACCAAGGCGAUGACGGGUAGGGGACCUGAGAGGGUGGCCCCCCACAAUGGAACUGAAACACGGUCCAUACACCUACGGGUGGCAGCAGGAGGGAAUAUUGGUUAAUGUGCGAAAGCGCGAACCAGCAACGCCGCGUGUACGAAGAAGGCCUUCGGGUUGUAAAGUACUUUUCACCGGGAAGAGGAAGGACGGUACCGGUGGAAUAAGUCUCGGCUAACUACGUGCCAGCAGCCGCGGUAACACGUAGGAGACGAGCGUUAUCCGGAUUUACUGGGCGUAAAGCGCGUGCAGGCGGCCUGUUAAGUCGGACGUGAAAGCUCCCUGGCUCAACCGGGAGAGGUCGUUCGAAACUGGGAGGCUGGAGGGCAGCAGAGGAGUGUGGAAUUCCGGGUGUAGUGGUGAAAUGCGUAGAUAUCCGGAGGAACACCAGUGGCGAAGGCGGCACUCUGGGCUGUACCUGACGCUAAGACGCGAAAGCGUGGGUAGCGAACGGGAUUAGAAACCCCGGUAGUCCACGCCGUAAACGAUGUGCACUAGGCGUAUGGUCUUCGGACUGUGUGCCGCAGCAAACGCGAUAAGUGCACCGCCUGGGGACUACGGCCGCAAGGCUAAAACUCAAAGGAAUUGACGG
This 907-nucleotide ribosomal RNA is filed under the name uncultured bacterium. RNAcentral describes it as "bacterial SSU rRNA". It matches the Rfam family "Bacterial small subunit ribosomal RNA", at positions 8 to 916 of the family's 1533-position model. The record is from RNAcentral.